RNAcentral lists this ribosomal RNA (410 nucleotides) under uncultured bacterium. RNAcentral describes it as "bacterial SSU rRNA". It matches the Rfam family "Bacterial small subunit ribosomal RNA", at positions 355 to 794 of the family's 1533-position model. The record is from RNAcentral.
UGGGGAAUAUUGGGCAAUGGGCGCAAGCCUGACCCAGCAAUGCCGCGUGUGUGAAGAAGGCCCGAGGGUUGUAAAGCACUUUCACUGGGGAGGAUUACCAGAGAAGAAGCGCCGGCUAACUCCGUGCCAGCAGCCGCGGUAAUACGGAGGGCGCGAGCGUUAAUCGGAAUUACUGGGCGUAAAGCGUGCGUAGGCGGCGCGUAAGUCAGGCGUGAAAGCCCCGGGCUCAACCUGGGAACUGCGCUUGAUACUGGCCGCUCGGGUUUGGCAGAGGGGGCGGAAUUCCGGGUGUAGCGGUGAAAUGCGUAGAUAUCCGGAGGAACACCAGUGGCGAAGGCGGCCCCCUGGGCUAAAACUGACGCUGAGGCACGAAAGCGUGGGUAGCAAACAGGAUUAGAUACCCUUGUAGU